ACUGAUGAGGGCGACUAUCAGGUAAAACUACGCAACCUGAUUCGUUUUCUCGAAGAUGGCGACAAAGCCAAAAUCACACUGCGUUUUCGUGGUCGUGAAAUGGCACACCAGCAGAUCGGUAUGGAAGUGCUUAACCGCGUGAAAGAAGAUCUGUCUGAACUGGCAGUGGUCGAAUCCUUCCCAUCAAGGAUCGAAGGCCGCCAGAUGAUAAUGGUGCUUGCGCCGAAGAAGAAGCAAUAGGCCAUCAAGUAAUGCUGCGUCAGUCUCGGCUGGCGCUGUAUUCGCCUGUUGCUUUAUAUUAUUAACAAUGCGAAGUGGAUAUUUGUAAAAAUGCCAA
This 337-nucleotide unclassified non-coding RNA is filed under the name Rosenbergiella nectarea. RNAcentral's name for it is "Long range pseudoknot". The record is from RNAcentral. Lineage: Bacteria; Pseudomonadati; Pseudomonadota; Gammaproteobacteria; Enterobacterales; Erwiniaceae.